GCUCCCUUCGUCUAGUGGUCCAGGACGUCGCCCUCUCACGGCGAAAACAGGGGUUCGAGUCCCCUAGGGAGCG
This 73-nucleotide transfer RNA is filed under the name Thioalkalivibrio denitrificans. It matches the Rfam family "tRNA". From Rfam's summary of the family: Transfer RNA (tRNA) molecules are approximately 80 nucleotides in length. The record is from Rfam by way of RNAcentral. Lineage: Bacteria; Pseudomonadati; Pseudomonadota; Gammaproteobacteria; Chromatiales; Ectothiorhodospiraceae.